GGGGGGCUGCUCCUAGUACGAGAGGACCGGAGUGGACGCAUCACUGGUGUUCGGGUUGUCAUGCCAAUGGCACUGCCCGGUAGCUAAAUGCGGAAGAGAUAAGUGCUGAAAGCAUCUAAGCACGAAACUUGCCCCGAGAUGAGUUCUCCCUGACUCCUUGAGAGUCCUGAAGGAACGUUGAAGACGACGACGUUGAUAGGCCGGGUGUGUAAGCGCAGCGAUGCGUUGAGCUAACCGGUACUAAUGAACCGUGAGGCUUAACCUUACAACGCCGAAGCUGUU
Molecule: ribosomal RNA, 282 nt
Filed under: Escherichia coli
Lineage: Bacteria; Pseudomonadati; Pseudomonadota; Gammaproteobacteria; Enterobacterales; Enterobacteriaceae
Also listed under: 1 other name
Description: partial 23S ribosomal RNA
Rfam family: Bacterial large subunit ribosomal RNA
Source: RNAcentral